AUUUCGUUGUUCCGCAUGUGCUUCCGAUAUGUCCCAAUUUAUUGUUCACAAUACCUUUUUGUACUCUGGUGUUUGUGGGAUUAUUUGGACCUUUGCUAGAAAUGGUAAAGGGUAUGUGCUUAGAGCCCGCGAUGCUCUAGAUUAUGUUUGGUGGUCAUUCAGAAAUGGAUAGACCAUAUUAUGUUUGGAAUUCCACUUCACCUUCUAUCUGUUUGAUAUGAAAUUCAGAGCCGACCUAGCACUUGGGUAGGGUGAGAGGGCUCGAGUAGGAAAGGGCUACCCGUGGAUGGAGU
RNAcentral lists this long non-coding RNA (293 nucleotides) under Musa acuminata (dwarf banana). RNAcentral describes it as "long non-coding RNA (MACU_LNC009944)". The record is from RNAcentral. Lineage: Eukaryota; Viridiplantae; Streptophyta; Magnoliopsida; Zingiberales; Musaceae.